GACUGAGGGGGGCUGCUCCUAGUACGAGAGGACCGGAGUGGACGCAUCACUGGUGUUCGGGUUGUCAUGCCAAUGGCACUGCCCGGUAGCUAAAUGCGGAAGAGAUAAGUGCUGAAAGCAUCUAAGCACGAAACUUGCCCCGAGAUGAGUCUUCCCUGAGACUUAGAGUCUCCUGAAGGAACGUUGAAGACGACGACGUUGAUAGGCCGGGUGUGUAAGCGCAGCGAUGCGUUGAGCUAACCGGUACUAAUGAACCGUGAGGCUUAACCUUACAACGCCGAAGCUGUU
This 288-nucleotide ribosomal RNA is filed under the name Salmonella enterica. RNAcentral describes it as "partial 23S ribosomal RNA". It matches the Rfam family "Bacterial large subunit ribosomal RNA", at positions 2660 to 2925 of the family's 2925-position model. Lineage: Bacteria; Pseudomonadati; Pseudomonadota; Gammaproteobacteria; Enterobacterales; Enterobacteriaceae. The record is from RNAcentral. RNAcentral also lists the same sequence under 2 other names.